Molecule: ribosomal RNA, 253 nt
Filed under: uncultured bacterium
Lineage: Bacteria
Description: partial 16S ribosomal RNA
Rfam family: Bacterial small subunit ribosomal RNA
Source: RNAcentral
UACGGAGGGUGCAAGCGUUAUCCGGAUUUACUGGGUUUAAAGGGUGCGUAGGCGGAUAGGUAAGUCAGUGGUGAAAUCCCCGAGCUCAACUUGGGAACUGCCGUUGAUACUAUUUAUCUUGAAUACCGUAGAGGUGAGCGGAAUAUGUCAUGUAGCGGUGAAAUGCUUAGAUAUGACGUAGAACACCGAUGGCGAAGGCAGCUCACUGGGCGGGCAUUGACGCUGAGGCACGAAAGCGUGGGGAGCAAACAGG